UGAGGAAUAUUGGUCAAUGGGCGCAGGCCUGAACCAGCCAAGUAGCGUGAAGGAUGACUGCCCUAUGGGUUGUAAACUUCUUUUAUAAAGGAAUAAAGUCGGGUAUGUAUACCCGUUUGCAUGUACUUUAUGAAUAAGGAUCGGCUAACUCCGUGCCAGCAGCCGCGGUAAUACGGAGGAUCCGAGCGUUAUCCGGAUUUAUUGGGUUUAAAGGGAGCGUAGAUGGAUGUUUAAGUCAGUUGUGAAAGUUUGCGGCUCAACCGUAAAAUUGCAGUUGAUACUGGAUAUCUUGAGUGCAGUUGA
This 303-nucleotide ribosomal RNA is filed under the name uncultured bacterium. RNAcentral describes it as "bacterial SSU rRNA". It matches the Rfam family "Bacterial small subunit ribosomal RNA", at positions 355 to 655 of the family's 1533-position model. The record is from RNAcentral.